CUCUUCAAGGUGCUGCAUGGUUGUCGUCAGCUCGUGCCGUGAGGUGUCGGGUUAAGUCCCAUAACGAGCGCAACCCUUACCGUUAGUUACCAUCAGGUUAAGCUGGGGACUCUAGCGGGACUGCCACCGUAAGGUGAGAGGAAGGUGGGGAUGACGUCAAAUCAGCACGGCCCUUAUGUCCAGGGCUACACACGUGUUACAAUGGCCAGUACAAAGGGCAGCUACCGGGUGACCGGAUGCUAAUCUCUAAAGCUGGUCCCAGUUCGGAUCGAAGUCUGCAACCCGACUUCGUGAAGCUGGAUUCGCUAGUAAUCGCGCAUCAGCCAUGGCGCGGUGAAUACGUUCCCGGGCCUU
Molecule: ribosomal RNA, 354 nt
Filed under: uncultured Sphingobacteriales bacterium
Lineage: Bacteria; Pseudomonadati; Bacteroidota; Sphingobacteriia; Sphingobacteriales
Description: bacterial SSU rRNA
Rfam family: Bacterial small subunit ribosomal RNA
Source: RNAcentral